CAGCAGCCGCGGUAAUACGAAGGGGGCUAGCGUUGCUCGGAAUGACUGGGCGUAAAGGGCGCGUAGGCGGCGGCCAAAGUCAGGCGUGAAAUUCCCUGGCUCAACCCAGGGGCUGCACGAGAAACUGCAGGGCUUGAGUAUGGGAGAGGUGAGUGGAAUUUCCGGUGUAGCGGUGAAAUGCGUAGAUAUCGGAAGGAACACCUGUGGCGAAAGCGGCUCACUGGACCAUAACUGACGCUGAGGCGCGAAAGCUAGGGGAGCAAACAGGAUUAGAUACCCCGGUAGUCCCUGUCUCUUAUAA
RNAcentral lists this ribosomal RNA (301 nucleotides) under uncultured bacterium. Its description in RNAcentral is "partial 16S ribosomal RNA". It matches the Rfam family "Bacterial small subunit ribosomal RNA", at positions 509 to 809 of the family's 1533-position model. The record is from RNAcentral.